GAUGAACGCUGGCGGCGUGCCUAAUACAUGCAAGUCGAACGCAUUGAGAGAAGUGCUUGCACUUUUCAAUUUGAGUGGCAAACGGGUGAGUAACACGUGGGCAACCUACCUGAUAGCGGGGGAUAACGAGUGGAAACAUUCGCUAAUACCGCAUGACAAUAGAGAAGGCAUCUUCUUUAUUUAAAAGGCGCUUUCAAGCGUCACUAUCAGAUGGGCCCGCGGUGCAUUAGUUAGUUGGUGGGGUGAAGGCCUACCAAGACGAUGAUGCAUAGCCGAGUUGAGAGACUGAUCGGCCACAUUGGAACUGAGACACGGCCCAAACUCCUACGGGAGGCUGCAGUAGGGAAUCUUCCACAAUGGACGAAAGUCUGAUGGAGCAACGCCGCGUGUGUGAUGAAGGCUUUCGGGUCGUAAAGCACUGUUGUAUGGGAAGAAAUGCUAGGCUAGGAAAUGAGCUUAGUUUGACGGUACCAUACCAGAAAGGGACGGCUAAAUACGUGCCAGCAGCCGCGGUAA
Molecule: ribosomal RNA, 516 nt
Filed under: uncultured bacterium
Lineage: Bacteria
Description: partial 16S ribosomal RNA
Rfam family: Bacterial small subunit ribosomal RNA
Source: RNAcentral